RNAcentral lists this RNase P RNA (291 nucleotides) under Massilia atriviolacea. RNAcentral describes it as "Massilia sp. SOD partial RNase P RNA component class A". It matches the Rfam family "Bacterial RNase P class A", at positions 1 to 288 of the family's 367-position model. From Rfam's summary of the family: Ribonuclease P (RNase P) is a ubiquitous endoribonuclease, found in archaea, bacteria and eukarya as well as chloroplasts and mitochondria. The record is from RNAcentral. Lineage: Bacteria; Pseudomonadati; Pseudomonadota; Betaproteobacteria; Burkholderiales; Oxalobacteraceae.
CGGGAAACUGACGUUGACGUCCUUCGGGAGACUGACAAAGGGGAGGAAAGUCCGGGCUUCAUAGAGCAAGGUGCCAGGUAACGCCUGGGGGGCGCAAGCCUACGACAAGUGCAGCAGAGAGAAGACCGCCGAUGGCCCGCAAGGGAACAGGUAAGGGUGAAAGGGUGCGGUAAGAGCGCACCGGACGACUAGUAAUAGUUCGUAGCAGGGUAAACUCCACCUGAAGCAAGACCAAAUAGGCCUCCACAUUGCGUUGCUCGCGUAAGGAGGCGGGUAGGUUGCUCGAGCCAG